AUGGAAGAAACAUCUAAAGCUGGUGGUACUGGGAAGUAUGCGUUUGCAUACAAUAAUGCUAUCUAUUCUGAUAAGAUCCUACGUCUGAAAGUUGAUCCCUCCCUGCCUGCUCUGUCAGAUUCCAGAAAAAAAGCACGUUUAGAAAAUGGUGCCUCGACCUCCUCUCAGCUGACAUUGUCUGUCAAGGAUGGUGUGAAAGAUAUCCGUGUUAGCUCCAUUAUCCUAGCUGCCGAAAGUCACUACUUUAUCAAGCUUUUUACAAAUGGAAUGAAAGAGACAGGAAAUGAAGUUGUUCUUGUGAACUUACAUUCAGAAGGUUAUUCAAUUUACUAA
This 333-nucleotide ribosomal RNA is filed under the name Triticum aestivum (bread wheat). RNAcentral describes it as "partial small subunit ribosomal RNA". The record is from RNAcentral. Lineage: Eukaryota; Viridiplantae; Streptophyta; Magnoliopsida; Poales; Poaceae.